This 409-nucleotide ribosomal RNA is filed under the name uncultured bacterium. Its description in RNAcentral is "bacterial SSU rRNA". It matches the Rfam family "Bacterial small subunit ribosomal RNA", at positions 29 to 429 of the family's 1533-position model. The record is from RNAcentral.
AAUGAACGCUGGCGGCGCGCCUAAUACAUGCAAGUCGAGCGAGAAGACGUAGCAAUACGUUUGUAAAGCGGCGAACGGGUGAGGAAUACAUGGGUAACCUACCCUCGAGUGGGGAAUAACUAGCCGAAAGGUUAGCUAAUACCGCGUACGCUCCUUGGACUUCGGUUCAGGGAGGAAAGCGAUACCGUGGGUAUCGCGCUCUUGGUUGGGCUCAUGUCCUAUCAGCUUGUUGGUGAGGAACGGCUCACCAAGGCUUCGACGGGUAGCUGGUCUGAGAGGACGAUCAGCCACACUGGCACUGCGACACGGGCCAGACUCCUACGGGAGGCAGCAGUAAGGAAUAUUGCGCAAUGGGCGAAAGCCUGACGCAGCGACGCCGCGUGGGGGAUGAAGGUCUUCGGAUUGUAAA